AGAAGUAAUUUUAUUGAACUUCUAAUUCAACUCUUAAUGAUAAUGUCAUUUUACUUCUA
RNAcentral lists this transfer RNA (59 nucleotides) under Polyrhachis dives. RNAcentral describes it as "tRNA-Ser". The record is from RNAcentral. Lineage: Eukaryota; Metazoa; Arthropoda; Insecta; Hymenoptera; Formicidae.